This 622-nucleotide ribosomal RNA is filed under the name uncultured Paracoccaceae bacterium. RNAcentral describes it as "bacterial SSU rRNA". It matches the Rfam family "Bacterial small subunit ribosomal RNA", at positions 29 to 690 of the family's 1533-position model. Lineage: Bacteria; Pseudomonadati; Pseudomonadota; Alphaproteobacteria; Rhodobacterales; Paracoccaceae. The record is from RNAcentral.
AUGACGCUGGCGGCUAGGCUACACAUGCAGUCGAACGGGAUCUUCGGAUCUAGUGGCGGACGGGUUAGUAACGCGUGGGAACGUACCCUUUUCUACGGAAUAGCCUCGGGAAACUGAGAGUAAUACCGUAUACGCCCUUCGGGGGAAAGAUUUAUCGGAGAAGGAUCGGCCCGCGUAAGAUUAGAUAGUUGGUGGGGUAAUGGCCUACCAAGUCUACGAUCUUUAGCUGGUUUGAGAGGAUGAUCAGCAACACUGGGACUGAGACACGGCCCAGACUCCUACGGGAGCGCAGCAGUGGGGAAUCUUAGACAAUGGGGGAAACCCUGAUCUAGCCAUGCCGCGUGAGUGACGAAGGCCUUAGGGUCGUAAAGCUCUUUCGCUGGGGAAGAUAAUGACUGUACCCAGUAAAGAAAACCCGGCUAACUCCGUGCCAGCAGACGCCGGUAAUACACGAGGGGGUUACGCGUUGUUCGGAAUUACUGGGCGUAAAGCGCGCGUAAGCAGGACUGGAAAGUAUCGGGGGUGAAAUCCCGGGGCUCCAAACCCGGAACGGCUCCAAAACUAUCAGUCUAGAGUUCGACGAAAAGUUGACGUGGAAUUCCGAGUGUAGAGGUGAAAUUCG